Molecule: long non-coding RNA, 826 nt
Organism: Sapajus apella (tufted capuchin)
Lineage: Eukaryota; Metazoa; Chordata; Mammalia; Primates; Cebidae
Exons: 2
Source: RefSeq, a predicted model, not a curated record
CAGGAAUCACCUGGACAUGGUGCUGAGAUCCAGGAAGUCUGGAGUCAAGCAAGACAUUCUGGAUUAAUGACAAGGCUGGAGCUCCUGCUGCUGGUCUCCAGAUCACACUUGGAAUAGAAAGAACAUGUGGAUCCCACAUGUCUAUGCAUCAGCCUCGCCUGUAGGGCUUGUUAUAUAAAUGAUUCCUCGGUCUUGGGCAUAGUACUGUGAGACAUGGGUUCUAGAGAGUGGCCUGAGGAUUUUGUAAGGCCCACCAGCAAUCCUGUUGCUCAGCCAGAUUGGGAACCACUGAGAUCAGAGAUCAGAGAGUGCCCAGGGUGGGUGGGUCGGGUGGGUUUUCAAACCUUGGUUAAAAGAGGAUUUUUCUCACAGCAAAGAAGGGCAGGAUGUACAUCAUCGAUUAUGAGAUGUGAUAUUCCCUGCUGAUCUCUCCACCAUGGCAUAGAGGACAGGUAGACAAUUCAGGAUGUGGCUCUCGCACAAAGAACACCUCUGAAUGCUGCUCUCUGACACUGCUCCACACACUGAUUUCUCACUCACUUCUUGGAGCAAACUAUGGAAACCAAAUUUCUCUAAUGGAGAGAAUCCACAGCCCACCCUGUCCGGUCCCUCCUAGGAACAACUGCCCCUGCUGCUGAGCACAGAUGCCACUGCUCACAACUGUGACAUCCUGGUGCUGGACACUGGACCCUAAGGCUAGGACAGAUGUCACUGCUGUGCCUGGAAACUGGACAUCACCACUGCCACUCAGCCACCUUUACUAAAAUGCAUUCUGCACAGUCCCAGCCUCUCUGUGUCGCCUCAUACUGGCUCAGAGUCUGGCAGU